GAAGAAGAACGUAGCGAAAUGCGAUACUUGGUGUGAAUUGCAGAAUCCCGUGAACCAUCGAGUCUUUGAACGCAAGUUGCGCCCGAAGCCAUCAGGUUGAGGGCACGUCUGCCUGGUCGUCACAUAUCGUUGCUCGAUGCCUAUCGCAUUGCGAUAGGACUUAGGGCGAAUGAUGGCUUCCCGUGAGCGUUGUUGCCUCGCGGUUGGUUGAAAAUCGAGUCCUUGGUAGGGUGUGCCAUGAUAGAUGGUGGUCGAGUUAGCACGAGUCCGAUCAUGUGCAUGCUCCCCAAAAUAUGGCCUCUGUGACCCACACGCGUCUUUUGACGCUCAUGACGAGACCUCAGGUCAGGCGGGGCUACCCGCUGAAUUUAAGCAUAUCAAUAAGCGGAGGA
This 392-nucleotide unclassified non-coding RNA is filed under the name soil metagenome. Its description in RNAcentral is "partial contains 5.8S ribosomal RNA, internal transcribed spacer 2, and large subunit ribosomal RNA". The stretch from base 1 to 122 matches the Rfam family "5.8S ribosomal RNA", at positions 35 to 154 of the family's 154-position model. The record is from RNAcentral.